Molecule: non-coding RNA, 73 nt
Organism: Ailuropoda melanoleuca (giant panda)
Lineage: Eukaryota; Metazoa; Chordata; Mammalia; Carnivora; Ursidae
Source: Rfam
GCCUGGCUGGCUCAGUCAGUAGAGCAUGUGACUCUUAACUUUAGGGUCGUGAGUUCAAUCCCCAUGUUGGGUA